AGUGAACGCUGGCGGUAGGCCUAACACAUGCAAGUCGAACGGCAGCACAGUAAGAGCUUGCUCUUACGGGUGGCGAGUGGCGGACGGGUGAGGAAUACAUCGGAAUCUACUUUUUCGUGGGGGAUAACGUAGGGAAACUUACGCUAAUACCGCAUACGACCUCCGGGUGAAGGCAGGGGACCUUCGGACCUUGCGCGAUUGAAUGAGCCGAUGUCGGAUUAGCUAGUUGGCGGGGUAAAGGCCCACCAAGGCGACGAUCCGUAGCUGGUCUGAGAGGAUGAUCAGCCACACUGGAACUGAGACACGGUCCAGACUCCUACGGGAGGCAGCAGUGGGGAAUAUUGGACAAUGGGCGCAAGCCUGAUCCAGCCAUACCGCGUGGGUGAAGAAGGCCUUCGGGUUGUAAAGCCCUUUUGUUGGGAAAGAAAAGCAGCAGGUUAAUACCCCGCUGUUCUGACGGUACCCAAAGAAUAAGCACCGGCUAACUUCGUG
RNAcentral lists this ribosomal RNA (492 nucleotides) under uncultured bacterium. RNAcentral describes it as "partial 16S ribosomal RNA". It matches the Rfam family "Bacterial small subunit ribosomal RNA", at positions 29 to 507 of the family's 1533-position model. The record is from RNAcentral.